GAUGAACGCUGGCGGCGUGCCUAAUACAUGCAAGUCGAGCGAACAGACGAGGAGCUUGCUCCUCUGACGUUAGCGGCGGACGGGUGAGUAACACGUGGAUAACCUACCUAUAAGACUGGGAUAACUUCGGGAAACCGGAGCUAAUACCGGAUAAUAUAUUGAACCGCAUGGUUCAAUAGUGAAAGACGGUUUUGCUGUCACUUAUAGAUGGAUCCGCGCCGCAUUAGCUAGUUGGUAAGGUAACGGCUUACCAAGGCAACGAUGCGUAGCCGACCUGAGAGGGUGAUCGGCCACACUGGAACUGAGACACGGUCCAGACUCCUACGGGAGGCAGCAGUAGGGAAUCUUCCGCAAUGGGCGAAAGCCUGACGGAGCAACGCCGCGUGAUUGAUGAAGGUCUUCGGAUCGUAAAACUCUGUUAUUAGGGAAGAACAAAUGUGUAAGUAACUAUGCACGUCUUGACGGUACCUAAUCAGAAAGCCACGGCUAACUACGCG
This 497-nucleotide ribosomal RNA is filed under the name uncultured bacterium. RNAcentral describes it as "partial 16S ribosomal RNA". It matches the Rfam family "Bacterial small subunit ribosomal RNA", at positions 28 to 507 of the family's 1533-position model. The record is from RNAcentral.